This is a long non-coding RNA of Frankliniella occidentalis (western flower thrips), 2897 nucleotides long. RefSeq lists it as uncharacterized. NCBI's taxonomy places the organism in Eukaryota, Metazoa, Arthropoda, Insecta, Thysanoptera, Thripidae. The transcript is spliced from 2 exons. The record is from RefSeq and is a predicted model, not a curated record.
AAUUUAAAGAAAGGGUUUCCUUGAAUCAAAUUUAUUUCUUUAAAUCAAAGAAAAGAAUAAAAUUCUAUUUUAAUUCAAAGAAUCGUUUCUUAGAUAUAGAUUUGAAGCAACAAUCUCAAAUACAAGAAAAUUCAAUUAAGCCGUUUUUCUUUGAAUCAAAGACAUAUUUUUUUGCAAGAAAGACGAUUGUUUCUUUAAAUUGAACAAACAUCUUUAAAUCAAAGAAGGCCCUCUUUGGAUCAAAACAGGCUGCUUUGAUUCAAAAACAUUUCUUUACAUCUAUAUUGAGUAAAGAAUUUUUUUGUAUUAAAGUAGCCUUCGUUGACUCAAAGAAACGAUUCUCUGGGUGAAGCAUCGCAAACUCACCAAUAUGAGAGCGGGUGUUAUAGGAAGUCAUGAGCAAAGGCGUUUUUGCUUGAGAAAACACUUUUAGCAUAAGGUGAUCUACUAGGCCUUAAGCGUUGUCUCAUGAGACGUUUUUUGUGGGGGAGACUCCUUAACACGCAUGGAUGGUACCCAAGAGUUUAGAAAGUCUCUUGAUGUAAAACUAUUACUGUGUUGAGAGAAUUGUGUUCACAUACAUUCAGAGGGAAACAAGAGAGAUCAACCAGAAAUCUCAGGUAAUAAUUUGCCUCCUUGGGUUAUGGCUAGUAAUGAAAUUAAUGUACACAUCUGAUUUUAUAAUUCAACUUUCAUUCUGAGUUUGCAUUUGCUAUGGUGGUUGUGAAAAGUGGUUCUAGGACCAAUAACUUUCUCCUUCAUGAAACCUGUGAAUGUGAAGAAAACACCUCAGCAGUUGUUUCACGUUGAUGCAUUUUGACCUUUAAUUCAUUUUUCCUUAAAAUAAUUAUUUUAGAGUUUUAUGUUUAAGCUGUUAGCACGUGAAUUCUCUCUGACUGUGCUAUGGUAUCAAUCAAGAAGUCCACACUUCCUGGCAGUUUAUCGGUGAAAGAAGGGACUUCCCUCCUUUGCACAACCUGUCGUCAGGAAUUUAGCUCUACCUCAUUGUAAGUCAUUAUCAGACAACCUACUCUGAAUGCUAUAGUAGUUUAGUACAUCAAGGUAUUGCAACCCCACAUAUCCCAUGAGAAACAGUUCCAAUGCAGGAGAGAAUAUGUCAUUGUCAUUGAAGUGUCACUAAAGACAGGCAGUUCUGAGACAUUACUCAGCAGUCUGACUUGUAUCAAGACAAAAAUUUAUGGAAUUAACAAUAAUUUGAUUUUACCUCAUACAACAAUAUGUUCGGCAACAUUUCACUUGAACUUACUUUGUGUUUUUUAGGUUGUAACUAAAUGUUCCCCAAAUCUUGUUGUGAAUUGUACCAUGCUCCGCUUUAAAAAUCAAGAGAACAUUAAUUCACUUACUCUCUACAGUCUUUCUUUCGCAAAUCACCUUUACUGUUCUGAUAAGAAUAUCUAAGCUUUGUUUUUUUCCUCCGGAGUGGGUUGGUAUAUCAUCAAACAAAGAACCAUAGGCCAAAAUGCUACUGUUUAGGACUUCUAGACAUUAACAAUAACAACAAUUGUAUAGAGAGAAAAGAAUGUAAAUUUCGUUUAGUUGAAAAAUAUUAUAUAGAAUCAAAAUUUAAAAGGUUAAUAUGUGUAAUACAUGGGAAAGUAAUGAAUUCUGGACAAAGAAAAGUAUCUUGGUAAAACUUUGGGAUACUACUUCAGUCAGGUUUUGUAUUGAUAGGCGUUCACGGAGAUCCCAAUCAGAAGUUCACCUGGAGAUGGAUGAAAUGAGGCACAAGUAGAGAUUUUCAUGUCAUACCUUUUCUUUCAUAAAUAUUUCUCUACACUUUGGCUCUGAUGCAUCAUUUUCAACGCCCAAGAUUUAAUUCCCUUGAAUAUGGCAUCACACUGUAAUGUCAAUUAAGCCACAUGGUAAAUUUACAGAGAAAUAUCUGGAUGUUACCCUUGCUCAUUAUUACAAAGAUUCACCAAGUUAAUCCACUGAAUGUACAUACAUUAAUUUAAGUGACUGGAGAUUUUAAGCUGGAAAAAAAAACCCACUGUACUAGACUUCCAUUUCCAAUCUUCCACUCACAAAUAAUUUCCCCCUAAUGCAAAAAUUUUCCUCACUGGUGGUUAUGUAUAAAUGUUUUCAUUAUAAACAAUUUUCGUCCAAUCAUAAAAUCAAAUAUUGCAAGAGACUUUCAAAAAUUUUGAUGUAUGGAUUGUGGGCUUAGGGGCUGAGUUGAAAAGGCCCAAGCUAAGAAAUGAGUUUACUGCAAAUAUUUUGAUUCAACACUGCACUUGACUUGCUAGUGUCCUUGAAUCCAUCACCUCCUUAAUUAUCUCAGUCUUCCAGUCAAUUUGGCCUUUCUCAGCAACCACUCUGAAUUAACUUUGAUAACUCUGAAGAGGUAAAAUCUUGGAAUGAGGAAACAUUGUAGGAAAGUUAUGGGGCUGUGAGCAAGUUUCUUUCCAACAAAAUCAAUUUAUUGAGGGUAAACUAAAGAGCAAGCAAUGAGGGAAGAAACUAAUACUGGUAAUCGGAUACUAUUUUUAUAUAAAAAAGAAGAAAGACUUCAAUGCUUAACAUUCUGACAAAGUCAUAGCAUUGACUUCCCUUUGAUUUGAUUUGAUUUGUACCUUACACUUGCAAAACUUUGCAGCAUUGCAAAGUAAAGUAGUUAUGUACACAAAACUUGAUUAGAAUCUUGAAUCUUGACAGUUUCUGCCAUAGGAACCGUAAAUUUAACAAUAAAUAUACGUAUAUAUGUACAUGUAUACUGUACAUCUAUCAAAAACCAAUAACUCUGGAAGAUGCAUCAGUUUAACAAAUCUGCAAUGAUUGAUAUAAAAAUUUAGACAUUUCCAGCAUGGCAUUCUGUAGAUUGACAUGUAUUGUAUCAUUUUGUACAUAUGAAAUAAAAGGAAUUAUUGUACUGUGUA